UACGUGCAUACAAUAUGUUUUAUUAUAUAUUAAUUUUACAUUUCAGUUACCUACCCUAUGUUCUUGAGAAGAAAAAAAAAUGCAUAUUAAGUAAUCAUAUCAUUCAGGCGAAGGUACAUAAGACGUUUGCAAGUGCAAAGUUCACUUCCCUGUACAAAAAUGAUCACCGUGCACCAUGUACACGCCGUAGGGUGCACCUAUUGCCAGAAGGCCAUACCCACAAGGCCUCCAGACAUGGCGCACCCAUAACGCAUCAUGGCCGGUGACCCAAGAGAGACCAGGAAUACUCAAUUUAAGCUGUGAGAAUACACUACACACAUUACAUACACAUUAGCCUCACGCAUUGUCAUAAAACUACAGUAGUAUGCUAAGUGGGCGAUAUAAAUAAGAUUUAUAUCCGUUUCUUAUUGAUAUAAUUUAAAAUUUAGAUAAUAGAAAUAUUUGCCUUCGUCA
This is a long non-coding RNA of Helicoverpa zea (corn earworm), 453 nucleotides long. RefSeq lists it as uncharacterized. The transcript is spliced from 2 exons. Lineage: Eukaryota; Metazoa; Arthropoda; Insecta; Lepidoptera; Noctuidae. The record is from RefSeq and is a predicted model, not a curated record.